Trichechus manatus latirostris (Florida manatee) is the source of this 102-nucleotide small nuclear RNA. The record is from RefSeq and is a predicted model, not a curated record. NCBI's taxonomy places the organism in Eukaryota, Metazoa, Chordata, Mammalia, Sirenia, Trichechidae.
GUGCUCACUUUGGCAGCACAUAUACUAAAGUUGGAAUGAUACAGAGAAGGUUAACAUGGCCCCUACACGGCAAUGACUCGCAAAUUCAUGUUCCAUAUUUAU